GACGAACGCUGGCGGCGUGCCUAAUACAUGCAAGUAGAACGCUGAAGGAGGAGCUUGCUUCUCUGGAUGAGUUGCGAACGGGUGAGUAACGCGUAGGUAACCUGCCUGGUAGCGGGGGAUAACUAUUGGAAACGAUAGCUAAUACCGCAUAAUAGCAGUUGUUGCAUGACAACUGUUUGAAAGGUGCAAUUGCACCACUACCAGAUGGACCUGCGUUGUAUUAGCUAGUUGGGGGGGUAACGGCUCACCAAGGCGACGAGACAUAGCCGACCUGGGAGGGUGAUAGGCCACACUGGGAGGGGAACACGGCCCAGACUACUACGGUAGGGAGCAGUAGGGAAUCGUCGGCAAUGGACGGAAGUCUGACCGAGCAACGCCGCGUGAGAGACGGAGGUUUUCGGAUCGUAAAGCUCUGUUGUGAGUGGAGAACGGGUUUGAGCGUGGAAAGUUCACACUGUGACGGUAUCUGACCAGGAAGGGACGGCUAACUACGUG
This 495-nucleotide ribosomal RNA is filed under the name uncultured bacterium. RNAcentral's name for it is "partial 16S ribosomal RNA". It matches the Rfam family "Bacterial small subunit ribosomal RNA", at positions 28 to 507 of the family's 1533-position model. The record is from RNAcentral.